UACGUAGGGACCGAGCGUUGUCCGGAAUCAUUGGGCGUAAAGAGCGUGUAGGCGGCUUGUUAAGUCUUGCGUGAAAUCUCGGGGCUCAACCCCGAGCGGUCGUGAGAAACUGGCAGGCUAGAGUGCGGGAGAGGAGAGUGGAAUUCCUGGUGUAGCGGUGAAAUGCGCAGAUAGUCAGGAAGAACACCCGUGGCGAAGGCGGCUCUCUGGAACGCAACUGACGCUGAGACGCGAAAGCGUGGGGAGCAAACAGG
RNAcentral lists this ribosomal RNA (254 nucleotides) under uncultured bacterium. Its description in RNAcentral is "partial 16S ribosomal RNA". It matches the Rfam family "Bacterial small subunit ribosomal RNA", at positions 524 to 776 of the family's 1533-position model. The record is from RNAcentral.